UUUUUUUUUUGUAUCUUUCUUAUGUUUCAUAAUUCUGAACCAGCAACCAUUUCAUUAUUAUAUCUCAGAUAUGCCACACCAUUUGGUUUGACAUCAGAAUAUGCUCACCCAGCUGAGAUUUUAUUCCUGGGUUUUGCUACCAUAGUCGGUCCAGCGCUCACCGGGCCUCACUUGAUUACUCUCUGGUCAUGGAUGGUGCUGAGAGUGCUUGAGACUGUUGAGGCACACUGUGGCUAUCAUUUCCCAUGAAGCCUCUCAAAUUUUCUUCCUCUUUAUGGAGGUGCUGACUUCCAUGACUACCAUCACCGACUGCUCUACACAAAUUCUGGAAACUACUCUUCAACUUUUGUGUAUAUGGACUGGAUCUUUGGUACCGAUAAAGGCUAUAGAAGACUGAAGUCUCUUAAAGAAAACAGUGACUUGAAACAAACGUGAAGUCUCCUGUUUGGAUCGCAGAGAACAUUUUGUCUGCUGGAAAAUGCUGAUUUGCUGAGUGUCUAUUUGCAUCUCUGUGGAGGUCUUUUAUUCUGCAACCUCUUCUUGUCUUCCAUUUUGCUGCACCUGUUGUUAUGUCUUAGUUUAUUGUGUUGUGUCUAGUAUUGCUACAAAUGUGGCAAAUGUGGCGUCGUUGAACAACAUCUGGUACUUGAAUUCUCGGAGUAGCCAAACUAGUACGUGUGUUGGGCGAUCGAAGCAUUAGUGUGCUAGAUGGGUUUGUAACUUCGAUUUCAUUCAGGGAUAAAAUCUUACAUGACAGGUAAUUUAAUUUUUGACUUUCGAUCUCAUCAAUCAUCAUAAAUAAAAAAACUCUUAGGUUAUAGAUGAAUUAGUUAUCAAUGACCCGUAGUGUUCAUGUCCAAGAUAAAAUACUCUUACAUUAGAUCAAUCAGUUAUCAAUCUCACCCAACAUCGACACGUACUAAUGUGCAUGGCCUCUUUGGUGGUGGUGGGUCACGUCCUUUUUGUGGUCUAGUUACCAUUUUCGACACGUCCAUACUCUAUAACCCAAUGAUCUUCUCUCUUCCUUUCCGUGAGAUUUAGAAUUUCUCCUACACAAACUUGGCCCACCCGUUGCAAAGACUAAACGUGUUUAUCAACAAAAGAAAAUUCCGUUUGCUGUCCGAAAGUAUAACAACGCGUACUCCAAUGAAUGGUUUUGUCUAAAAGCAAGAAGAAAGAAAAUAUUCACAUGCAUUUUUAUUCAUUGAAUUAUGCAUAUAAUAACUUUUACUCUCUCUCUAUAUACUUUGCUCUGCCUUCUCUCUAGGAACUACCGACGACAUAAUCGCCUCCGGCCGGCGGAUUGGGCUUCCACAGCCACCGCCGGUCCGGCUUUUCCGGUUCUCUGUUUUUUUUCUUUUCUUGUUUUGUGUUUUUUGGGAAUUUUCUCUGCUUCCGGCGGCGCACACUUCCAUAGGUGGCUGGUCGGCUUCGACUCCGGCGUUGUACCUACUACAAGGGGUAGACGGUCGGCUUAAGGGUUCGGA
Long non-coding RNA from Raphanus sativus (radish), 1487 nucleotides. RefSeq lists it as uncharacterized. The record is from RefSeq and is a predicted model, not a curated record. Lineage: Eukaryota; Viridiplantae; Streptophyta; Magnoliopsida; Brassicales; Brassicaceae. The transcript has 4 exons.